CCUACGGGAGGCAGCAGUGAGGAAUAUUGGUCAAUGGACGAGAGUCUGAACCAGCCAAGUAGCGUGAAGGAUGACUGCCCUAUGGGUUGUAAACUUCUUUUAUAUGGGAAUAAAACGUUCCACGUGUGGGAUUUUGUAUGUACCAUAUGAAUAAGGAUCGGCUAACUCCGUGCCAGCAGCCGCGGUAAUACGGAGGAUCCGAGCGUUAACCGGAUUGAUUGGGUUUAAAGGGAGCGUAGGUGGAUUGUUAAGUCAGUUGUGAAAGUUUGCGGCUCAACCGUAAAAUUGCAGUUGAAACUGGCAGUCUUGAGUACAGUAGAGGUGGGCGGAAGUCGUGGUGUAGCGGUGAAAUGCUUAGAUAUCACGAAGAACUCCGAUUGCGAAGGCAGCUCACUGGACUGCAACUGACACUGAGGCUCGAAAGUGUGGGUAUCAAACAGGAUUAGAUACCCCAGUAGUC
This 460-nucleotide ribosomal RNA is filed under the name uncultured bacterium. RNAcentral describes it as "partial 16S ribosomal RNA". It matches the Rfam family "Bacterial small subunit ribosomal RNA", at positions 338 to 795 of the family's 1533-position model. The record is from RNAcentral.